UCAGGGGAAAAAUGUCAGAGAGGAUCUUGUUUUUUGAAUAUUGAAAAGGAUCCUCUAGGACACAUUGCUUCCAGUCACUCACUCGUGUACUGGACGUGAGGCAGAGAAAUCCUCUGACCCAGCUUUUGUCACGUAAUAUGCCACUUUUCUAACUCAUGACCAAGCUGUGAGCAGUGGUGUCUGUAGCAGCUGUCUUCCUGGCACAAGAAAAAGAUGAUGAUAAAGUGACAUGAGCUAUACUUGCCUGGAGGAUCCCAAGCUGUAAGGCAAGGCAGCAAAUUGAAGUAUCUGAAUCUUCAGUAUCCUAGAAUUUUUCCUUGUAUUAUCUGAAACAUGGCACAUCAUUGAUCUAAAUCCUGGAAGCAAAUGGGAAGACAGGCUUACUGGAACAAUUUCAUAAACCAACCAUUUGACUGUAUUUCUCUGAUCUCUGUAAGCCACUUAGAAGCAGUGGGUUGAUGAGUAUCUCUUCCUUUGUUGUUAAACUUGAUCAUCCAGGACAUAAUUAGCAAUAAAGAUGUUCCAAAUUGCGGAUCUUCCAAGUCCAGCUGAUUAAAUUUAGACAUAAUGACCUCAAUCUCUUUAAUAAGCCUCCUUAAUGUGUCUUCCUUAAUUUAAAAUCUGGAAGCUGUUAAUCACAUAUGUGUAUGAUAUGUGUAGAUGAAUGUGCUUUCUUUCAGCAAUAUCACCUACAAUAAAAACAAAUAUCUUUUUCUCUAAAUAUGUGGCACAUAUAUGGCAAUGAAGUAACUUGCUUGAUGAAAGUAUGCAGUCAUAUGUACUGGCAGUGGCAUGAAAUCUUGAUUACAGCCAAUAAAAAUAUCUAAUUUU
Molecule: long non-coding RNA, 831 nt
Organism: Cyanistes caeruleus (blue tit)
Lineage: Eukaryota; Metazoa; Chordata; Aves; Passeriformes; Paridae
Source: RefSeq, a predicted model, not a curated record